This 492-nucleotide ribosomal RNA is filed under the name uncultured bacterium. RNAcentral describes it as "partial 16S ribosomal RNA". It matches the Rfam family "Bacterial small subunit ribosomal RNA", at positions 29 to 507 of the family's 1533-position model. The record is from RNAcentral.
AGUGAGCGCUGGCGGUAGGCCUAACACAUGCAAGUCGAACGGCAGCACAGUAAGAGCUUGCUCUUACGGGUGGCGAGUGGCGGACGGGUGAGGAAUACAUCGGAAUCUACUUUUUCGUGGGGGAUAACGUAGGGAAACUUACGCUAAUACCGCAUACGACCUACGGGUGAAAGCAGGGGAUCUUCGGACCUUGCGCGAUUGAAUGAGCCGAUGUCGGAUUAGCUAGUUGGCGGGGUAAAGGCCCACCAAGGCGACGAUCCGUAGCUGGUCUGAGAGGAUGAUCAGCCACACUGGAACUGAGACACGGUCCAGACUCCUACGGGAGGCAGCAGUGGGGAAUAUUGGACAAUGGGCGAAAGCCUGAUCCAGCCAUACCGCGUGGGUGAAGAAGGCCUUCGGGUUGUAAAGCCCUUUUGUUGGGAAAGAAAAGCAGCAGGUUAAUACCCCGCUGUUCUGACGGUACCCAAAGAAUAAGCACCGGCUAACUUCGUG